This is a long non-coding RNA of Cyprinus carpio (common carp), 1269 nucleotides long. RefSeq lists it as uncharacterized. Lineage: Eukaryota; Metazoa; Chordata; Actinopteri; Cypriniformes; Cyprinidae. The record is from RefSeq and is a predicted model, not a curated record. The transcript has 2 exons.
AGGGGGCGCUGAGAUUGUUGAGCGCGUUUCACUGAGUUUGGUGAGUGGAACAGGUAGAGCGAGCUGACGCGCUUCCGGCCGCAGGUGAGAGAGCUGUAGUCAUGAACGCGCGGGUCAAACGAAACUUCCUCACGCUCUGCGCUUGGACGCGGAGGUCUUGAUUGUUUGGGAUUCAAAAUAACAACAACAGCGGGUCCUUCGCGGAUAUCACAGCAGUUUCUCAGGUUAAAGUUCCCUUCCAAAAUGUAAAAGGAUGACCACUGUGUAGUCACUACUUACCAGGUACUUUGCCUCUCUUGAACGGACACACCCUUAGAACACUCUUACACAGAUAUUCUCAGUCUGUGUUUGUUUUCACGUGUGUGUGGAGCAUCAUGAGUUCGGUGAGCGCAUCGGGCCUGUGCAUGCCGGUGUUGUUCCUUCUGGCUCUGGCCCUGGUUCUGUUCUCGUGCGUUCUCCGUAAGAAGCGGCAGAUGGAGGGAUCAUACCAACCCAGCUCGGAAGAGCGGAAACAAGCCAAGAACCACGGAGCCGAGAGACCUGGUCUUGCUCUUCCACUGCCCAAAGAGGAGAGACUGAUCUGAAUGCAGCCCUCAUUCAAAAGAUGCUGAAACCACACCACUGUUUAAGUUGAUCAGGUAAACCUAAACAGAACUCUCAUUACAACUUCAUAUCGAUAUUUAUGUGGAGUCCACUCAUGUGUGCAGUCAUGGCAAACAAGUGAGGCUCAUGGAUGGAGAUCGUUUGAAGUGGUGGGUAUUUAUUUGACGCUUUUGACUGAGAUGUGAGAAUACUUUCAUAUCAUAAUGCACUAUUAAAGUCGAUAAAUCAAUUUAAGUAUGCCUUAAGAUGUUUUGCUGUCACACUUGGGACAUCUGAAGACACUGGCAAGUGCAUAAGUAAUCAUAAGAAUAGAAACCAGAAGAUUUAGAUGGACGGCCAAACCAGUUUGACUUUGUUUACUUUAUCUGUACUUUAAGUUUACUCACCUGAGAGUCUUCGUGAAGGAGACAUGGCAGCUUUACCUUCAAAACAGUUUACCAUUAUCAUAUCGAAUACUUUAAAUGUCCAAAAGCGAACAUUAUGUUUCAGUUUUUUCUAAGGUAGAGAGAGAGAACUAUAUAUUGCACUUUGCCAAAUGUUGUUUUGUAUUAGGUUUGCAUUUCUGUAAUGUCUGUAACACAUCAAUAUUCAGAAUGACGUUGAUCAUAAUGUGAUGAAGUGACUGUGUAACUGUGGAUGAUUAAUUAAAAUGCAUCUGUGAAUUAA